CAUACCCGCGUUUUCAAUACUACACCUGACAACAAUUGUUAGUACAAAAAUGGUUGCGUAUCAUUGACAGGAAAGAAACUGCAUUUCAAGUACUCCAAACCUCUUAUGCUGGCUUCGUUGAGGUUUAUUAUUACUAAUUAUAUGCUGACAGAAAUGGGAUGCAUUUCUGGACAUUUUGAGAAGACAAGAUAUCUGGAAGCAUUCACUAUCCAGUGCUGACCCUCGUGGUUCAAGGAUGCACGAGGCUCACACUAACUAACGUGAGCACGAAAUUACCUCUCUCAGCUUGAAAUAGUUCAAUAAUACCGACAUAGGGGAAUCCUGAACAUGGAUUUCGCGUAGAUGAACCAGCCAAAAGACUCGAUGCACUGAGGAUUGGCCAAAGUGGAAAAGAACUGCUUCAUUCACGGGUUUUUGAUGUGUAAAAUAUUACAAUAUUAAUAUUAGUAGUUGUUUAUUUUGGUUUUCUCAUCUCGACAUAAGCAUAAUAUACCUGAUACAUUCAUAUCGGACGCAAUAUCAGUGAU
RNAcentral lists this small RNA (527 nucleotides) under Histoplasma capsulatum var. duboisii H88. RNAcentral describes it as "Histoplasma capsulatum H88 hypothetical RNA". The record is from RNAcentral. Lineage: Eukaryota; Fungi; Ascomycota; Eurotiomycetes; Onygenales; Ajellomycetaceae.